Molecule: long non-coding RNA, 1193 nt
Filed under: Fragaria vesca (wild strawberry)
Lineage: Eukaryota; Viridiplantae; Streptophyta; Magnoliopsida; Rosales; Rosaceae
Description: long non-coding RNA (FVES_LNC005112)
Source: RNAcentral
GAAAGGUGUAUAAAUGGAUGAUGUGUAAACUUAGCCGACGGAAUAUACCAUCGCCUAAGAGAAAAGGCUUCGAAAAAAUAUUCGUUCUGUUUUGUGUCAGCCAAUAAUUUAAAAUCCUAGGCGACGGAAUAUUCCGUCGCCUAAGAGAAAAGGCUUCGGAAAAAAUAUUCGUUCUGCUUUGUGUUAGGCAAUAAUUCAAAAUCCUAGGCGACGGAACAGUUCGUCGCCUAAGCAAAGAAAAUUCGUCUCCCAAGUACAUCAACCGACGGAAAUGCCUUCGUCGCCCAUGACAAUUUAGGACGACGGAAAAUUGUUUGGCGUCUAAGAGAGAUAUACCGACGGAACAAUAUUCGUCGCCCUAGAAAAUCUUAAACGAUGAAACCAUACCGACGGAAGAUAGUCGUCGCCUAGGAUAUCUUAGACGACGGAACCUGGACGACGAAUGGUGUUUCGUCGUGUAUGAAAAUCCUAGUCGACGGAAGACGUGUACGGUUAUUUUCUGUCGCCUAGGAUAUCUUAGACGACGGAUGUGGUAUCCUAGACGAAGGUUCCUCUUUCGUCGGUGCGGAAUUACUUAGCCGACGCCGUCGGCUAAGUUGAUAUUUCCUGUAGUGUACAAAUUCUUGAACCGAAUCCUCUUCGGUAUCAGAAGUGAGAACUAAAUGUCUUGAACUUCUUCCCAUCUUGCAUAUAAGUAGUAAAAACUUGCAUUUAUAAACUGCAUAUGCAAAAAAUAAAGUUUACUGCCCCCUAGUAAACUUCUACUGGGGGUCAGUAAACUUCAAUACAGUAUCUCCCUUUCAUAAUCAUGCCAAUUAUACACAACAGAUAUUCAUUCUUACCCUAAUAAAUAACUUCAUUGAACCCUAGUAAACAUAGUGGAAGUUUACUGCCCCCUAGUAAACUUCUAUUGGGGGUCAGUAAACUUCAAUACAUUAUGUCCCUUUCAUAAUCAUGUCAAUUAUACACAACCGAUACCCAUUCUUACCCUAAUAAACAACUUUAUUGAACCUUAGUAAACUCAGUGAAAGUUUACUGCCCCCCAAUAAACUUCUACUUAACAAGAGUAAACUUCAAUACACUAUGUCCCUUUCAUAAUCAUGCCAAUUAUACACAACAGAUACCUAUUCUUACCGUAAUAAACAACUUCAUUGAACCCUAGUAAACCCAGUGGAAGUUUACUGCCCCCCAGU